GAGCGACCCCAGGUCAGGSGGGAACACCCGCUGA
RNAcentral lists this ribosomal RNA (34 nucleotides) under Elaeodendron cunninghamii. RNAcentral's name for it is "partial 26S ribosomal RNA". Lineage: Eukaryota; Viridiplantae; Streptophyta; Magnoliopsida; Celastrales; Celastraceae. The record is from RNAcentral.